ACCACCCUCACCCCCCCACCUCUGCCCUUCCAUGAGCCAGGAGGACCAUAUAGCACCUCUUGCCUCUGCCUACAGGAGCCUUUCAAGAAAUGACAUGCUAGAGCACUCUCAUCUUCCUUGGAUGGUUAAUUUCUCUGUACUUCAGGUAUUGCUUCUUGCGAUCUUGUCCCUUGUUGGUCUACUGAUAUCUCAGAAGUUACAGCCCUUUGGGAAGAUUUUUAUUUAAUAUAAGAUAUUUUCAGUGCGUGGUUCAUUUCGAAACAAACCAAACCAGAAAAGGCUGAACAGAGCUGAAGCUGGAAUCUAAGUCCAAGUUAAUGAAGCUGCCUCAAAGUUGAGGAGGAAGAGAAUAAACCACAGCUCUGAGGCACAGACCACUGGAGAUUCCUCCUUCAAACCCUGCCUUUGCCGCUCACUGGAGUUAUUUGAUUUGGGAACAAGAUAAGAAUUCACAAUAUCUGAUUUGUAGAAAUAACCUGGAGGAAGAAAAACAAUCAGAAAUAUUAAUUUCAGAUAUAAUUUUCAUCUCUCAGUUUCCUAAUAGUCUUUCCCAGCUCUAAUAACAUUAACCAAAUAUAAAGUCCAGACUUUGGGGAAGUUGUGUACUGACUGACAAAUACAUCUCCAAAUAGUCCACAGUUCAGCACUUCUUAUUCUGUUAAUACUCCGUGACCAGGAAAGGUUCGGAGCAUAAUUCUCUUCCAGUUAUUCAUGUUCUCCCUUUCUCAUUUUUUUUUUUCUCCCAGCAAGAAAUACACCUGGAUAUUCAUUGUGUGCAAACUGUUGCAGUUCCUUGUGGUAACCUGCAAAUCAAACUGAUAGAGCAGAAGAACUGCUGUCACACCAAGGGCUGUACAGCCAAAUGCAGGUGUUAUGGCUGCUAUUGCCCUUAAGAGAUGGGGUGUGAGGAACAAUUCAGCCUGCUUGAUAGUCAGCUCUACCCAGUCCUUGGCUAGAGUUGACAGAGAAAAGUACCCAGCAUCUUUAAAUUAGGCAAAGUCUUUGCUAUAAAUGUCUAACAAUGGCAGUGGAGCAAUUCUAAUUAUUGGCUGUACAGGUGUUGUCUUUCUUCAGUGCUGGUAACAUAUCGUUGUAAGGCAGUGGGCAUAUAUUUAUGGCUCACUUCUUCACACACUCAAAAUUUGGGCUUCAGAUUUGUAUUGAUUAAAGUCAGAGUGGUGUGUGUGAGGGUAGGGCCACUGUGCAGUUUAUCCAUUGUGUCACCCCAGGAAGCAGUGGUGCAGCCAGGGUGUUUGGUGUGUUCCUUGAUGGUGACCCCCUACAGCCAAGGAGGACCAGGAGGCAGCUACAGACAACCCAAGGAAGGUUUGUGGGGUGGAUAUGUGUCCUACAGAAAACAGUGGGAGGGGAGACCAUGGCUUCCCAAGCUGAACACACUGUGGAUAUUGCCUGUGGUGACUGUAGUCACACCCUUGCUCUGAAAAUGAGACAUCACUUCCUCUUCAAAGGUUCAGAUGCCUGUGCUGCCUGUAGCUACACAUUCAAAAUUUCAGCUUCAAAUUUUGUGUUGAUUACAAUUAUUUAUUAGUAUUAAAUUUUAAUAAUUAUUCUAGAGUCUUGUUCUGCAUGCCUUCACAAGAAUUUAAUUGUCUUCAGCAGGCCAUUUUAAUACGUUAGUGUUUUAGCAUGUAAUCAUAAUAAUUUAUUGUGUUAAAGUGUUGAGACUGCAGCUAGGAGAAAUGUAUAUUUAGGCUGAUAAGAAAGGGAAAGCUUCAACUUGGAAUAUGGUUGAUUAUAAAAAUAAAAGAUGUCUCUAAUGUAGCACUUAUUUCUAAGCUUCCUCUUCCUAUUCCUGACUUUUUUCAUCAGCGCUUCUCAUAAUUUAUUCACAUCCAUGUACACAGUCCUUUGUUACUGCAUGAAAAACCUACACAAAUGUGGUUUACUGAUUACACAAAGGAGGAAGUGAAAUUCUUGUCAAAUGCUUAGAGAAAUCAAAUUAAAAGAGUUGUCAUUUUGCCUUACUGACUUAGUAUUGUUCCCUUUCAUAACAAAGGAUAAAAAUGUGAUUUUGAAAUGGUUGUGUUCCUUUGCAUGGUAUAUUGAUUUCUGUAUAGAUAUGCUUAUUUAC
Molecule: long non-coding RNA, 2092 nt
Organism: Pipra filicauda (Wire-tailed manakin)
Lineage: Eukaryota; Metazoa; Chordata; Aves; Passeriformes; Pipridae
Exons: 5
Source: RefSeq, a predicted model, not a curated record